Molecule: small nuclear RNA, 161 nt
Organism: Capra hircus (goat)
Lineage: Eukaryota; Metazoa; Chordata; Mammalia; Artiodactyla; Bovidae
Gene: U1
Rfam family: U1 spliceosomal RNA
About the family: U1 is a small nuclear RNA (snRNA) component of the spliceosome (involved in pre-mRNA splicing). Its 5' end forms complementary base pairs with the 5' splice junction, thus defining the 5' donor site of an intron.
Source: Ensembl
AAACUCUCUGGGUAGUUCUUACGCAAGCAGGUUAGCCUUGGUGCAAGGGCUGGCAUUUGAAAACCACUGGUUUAAAUAGAGGGAUACUUGCGGUUUCCCCAAAUGUGGGAAACUUGCCCGCAUAAUUGGUGGUAGUGGGAAACUGCAUUUGUGCUUUCCCU